GGGUCGUUAGCUCAGUCGGUAGAGCAGUUGGCUUUUAACCAAUUGGUCGUAGGUUCGAACCCUACACGACCCACCA
RNAcentral lists this transfer RNA (76 nucleotides) under Pseudomonas aeruginosa. RNAcentral describes it as "tRNA-Lys". It matches the Rfam family "tRNA". Rfam says of the family: Transfer RNA (tRNA) molecules are approximately 80 nucleotides in length. Lineage: Bacteria; Pseudomonadati; Pseudomonadota; Gammaproteobacteria; Pseudomonadales; Pseudomonadaceae. The record is from RNAcentral.